RNAcentral lists this ribosomal RNA (301 nucleotides) under uncultured bacterium. RNAcentral describes it as "partial 16S ribosomal RNA". It matches the Rfam family "Bacterial small subunit ribosomal RNA", at positions 509 to 807 of the family's 1533-position model. The record is from RNAcentral.
CAGCAGCCGCGGGAAUACGUAGGUGGCAAGCGUUGUCCGGAAUUAUUAGGCGUAAAGGGCUCGCAGGCGGUUUCUUAAGUCUGAUGUGAAAGCCCCCGGCUCAACCGGGGAGGGUCAUUGGAAACUGGGAAACUUGAGUGCAGAAGAGGAGAGUGGAAUUCCACGUGUAGCGGUGAAAUGCGUAGAGAUGUGGAGGAACACCAGUGGCGAAGGCGACUCUCUGGUCUGUAACUGACGCUGAGGAGCGAAAGCGUGGGGAGCGAACAGGAUUAGAUACCCCAGUAGUCCCUGUCUCUUAUAC